CCUGCCCCGAAAGGCAUUGCAGGUAUGGCUGCUGGGUCACAUGUGUGUCAGUGGUUGGCAAAGGGGAGACAGGCUCUGUCUAUGCUCAGUGUUCUGACCUGUGACUAUCUGGAUAAGUAGCCUAACACU
Meriones unguiculatus (Mongolian gerbil) is the source of this 129-nucleotide small nucleolar RNA. Lineage: Eukaryota; Metazoa; Chordata; Mammalia; Rodentia; Muridae. The record is from Ensembl.